RNAcentral lists this ribosomal RNA (1360 nucleotides) under uncultured bacterium. RNAcentral describes it as "bacterial SSU rRNA". It matches the Rfam family "Bacterial small subunit ribosomal RNA", at positions 28 to 1381 of the family's 1533-position model. The record is from RNAcentral.
GAUGAACGCUAGCGGCAGGCCUAACACAUGCAAGUCGAGGGGUAACAGGGAAGAGCUUGCUCUUUCGCUGACGACCGGCGCACGGGUGCGUAACGCGUAUACAACUUACCUUUUGGAGGGGAAUAGCCCAGGGAAACUUGGAUUGAUGCCCCAUAGUAUGGGAAUAUCUCCUGAUAUUUUCAUUAAACAUUUAUGGCCAUUAGAUGGGUAUGCGUCCUAUUAGUUAGUUGGUAAGGUAACGGCUUACCAAGGCAGCGAUAGGUAGGGGUCCUGAGAGGGAGAUCCCCCACACUGGUACUGAGACACGGACCAGACUCCUACGGGAGGCAGCAGUGAGGAAUAUUGGACAAUGGGCGAGAGCCUGAUCCAGCCAUGCCGCGUGCAGGAAGACUGCCCUAUGGGUUGUAAACUGCUUUUACAGAGGAAGAACCACUCCCACGUGUGGGAGUUUGACGGUACUCUGCGAAUAAGGAUCGGCUAACUCCGUGCCAGCAGCCGCGGUAAUACGGAGGAUCCAAGCGUUAUCCGGAAUCAUUGGGUUUAAAGGGUCCGUAGGCGGGCAGGUAAGUCAGUGGUGAAAGUCUUCCGCUCAACGGGAGAACUGCCAUUGAUACUGAUUGUCUUGAGUUAUUAUGAAGUGGUUAGAAUGAGUAGUGUAGCGGUGAAAUGCAUAGAUAUUACUCAGAAUACCGAUUGCGAAGGCAGAUCACUAAUAAUAUACUGACGCUGAUGGACGAAAGCGUAGGUAGCGAACAGGAUUAGAUACCCUGGUAGUCUACGCCGUAAACGAUGGUUACUAGCUGUUCGGCCCGAUUAAGGGCUGAGUGGUUAAGCGAAAGUGAUAAGUAACCCACCUGGGGAGUACGUUCGCAAGAAUGAAACUCAAAGGAAUUGACGGGGGCCCGCACAAGCGGUGGAGCAUGUGGUUUAAUUCGAUGAUACGCGAGGAACCUUACCAGGGCUUAAAUGUAGUCUGACAGGAGUGGAAACACUUUUUUCUUCGGACAGAUUACAAGGUGCUGCAUGGUUGUCGUCAGCUCGUGCCGUGAGGUGUCAGGUUAAGUCCUAUAACGAGCGCAACCCCUGUGGUUAGUUGCCAGCGAGUAAUGUCGGGAACUCUAGCCAGACUGCCGGUGCAAACCGUGAGGAAGGUGGGGAUGACGUCAAAUCAUCACGGCCCUUACGUCCUGGGCCACACACGUGCUACAAUGGUAGGGACAGAGAGCAGCCACUUCGCGAGAAGGAGCGAAUCUACAAACCCUAUCACAGUUCGGAUCGCAGUCUGCAACUCGACUGCGUGAAGCUGGAAUCGCUAGUAAUCGCAUAUCAGCCAUGAUGCGGUGAAUACGUUCCCGGGCCU